UACGGAGGGUGCAAGCGUUAUCCGGAUUCACUGGGUUUAAAGGGUGCGUAGGUGGGCAGUUAAGUCAGUGGUGAAAUCUCCGGGCUCAACCCGGAAACUGCCAUUGAUACUAUCUGUCUUGAAUAUCGUGGAGGUAAGCGGAAUAUGUCAUGUAGCGGUGAAAUGCUUAGAUAUGACAUAGAACACCAAUUGCGAAAGGCAGCUUACUACCCGAAUAUUGACACUGAGGCACGAAAGCGUGGGGAUCAAACAGG
This 254-nucleotide ribosomal RNA is filed under the name uncultured bacterium. RNAcentral describes it as "partial 16S ribosomal RNA". It matches the Rfam family "Bacterial small subunit ribosomal RNA", at positions 524 to 776 of the family's 1533-position model. The record is from RNAcentral.